RNAcentral lists this transfer RNA (58 nucleotides) under Bos taurus (domestic cattle). It matches the Rfam family "tRNA", at positions 8 to 63 of the family's 71-position model. Rfam says of the family: Transfer RNA (tRNA) molecules are approximately 80 nucleotides in length. Their secondary structure includes four short double-helical elements and three loops (D, anti-codon, and T loops). Further hydrogen bonds mediate the characteristic L-shaped molecular structure. tRNAs have two regions of fundamental functional importance: the anti-codon, which is responsible for specific mRNA codon recognition, and the 3' end, to which the tRNAs corresponding amino acid is attached (by aminoacyl-tRNA synthetases). tRNAs cope with the degeneracy of the genetic code in two manners: having more than one tRNA (with a specific anti-codon) for a particular amino acid; and 'wobble' base-pairing, i.e. permitting non-standard base-pairing at the 3rd anti-codon position. Lineage: Eukaryota; Metazoa; Chordata; Mammalia; Artiodactyla; Bovidae. The record is from Rfam by way of RNAcentral. RNAcentral also lists the same sequence under 1 other name.
UAUCUCAGUUGGUAAAGAAUCUGCCUGCAAUGCAGAAGACCCUGGUUUCAUAUACCUG